RNAcentral lists this ribosomal RNA (493 nucleotides) under uncultured bacterium. Its description in RNAcentral is "partial 16S ribosomal RNA". It matches the Rfam family "Bacterial small subunit ribosomal RNA", at positions 28 to 507 of the family's 1533-position model. The record is from RNAcentral.
GACGAACGCUGGCGGCGUGCCUAACACAUGCAAGUUGAGCGACGAACCAGGGCUUGCCCUGGGGCAAAGCAGCGAACGGGUGAGUAACACGUGGGUAACCUACCCCGAUAACCGGGACAACCCGAGGAAACUCGGGCUAAUACCGGAUGUGCUCACUGGACUUCGGUUCAGUGCGUAAAGGAAGCUUCGGCCUCCGUAUCGGGAGGGGCCCGCGGCCCAUUAGUUUGUUGGUGAGGUAACGGCUCACCAAGACCGCGAUGGGUAGCUGGUCUGAGAGGACGAUCAGCCACACUGGGACUGAGACACGGCCCAGACUCCUACGGGAGGCAGCAGUGGGGAAUAUUGCGCAAUGCGCGAAAGCGUGACGCAGCAACGCCGCGUGGGGGAAGAAGGCCUUCGGGUUGUAAACCCCUUUCAGGAGGGACGAAGGUUCGGCGGUGAAUAGCCGUCCGGACUGACGGUACCUCCACAAGAAGCCCCGGCUAACUACGUG